This 497-nucleotide ribosomal RNA is filed under the name uncultured bacterium. Its description in RNAcentral is "partial 16S ribosomal RNA". It matches the Rfam family "Bacterial small subunit ribosomal RNA", at positions 28 to 507 of the family's 1533-position model. The record is from RNAcentral.
GAUGAACGCUGGCGGCGUGCCUAAUACAUGCAAGUCGAGCGAACAGACGAGGAGCUUGCUCCUCUGACGUUAGCGGCGGACGGGUGAGUAACACGUGGAUAACCUACCUAUAAGACUGGGAUAACUUCGGGAAACCGGAGCUAAUACCGGAUAAUAUAUUGAACCGCAUGGUUCAAUAGUGAAAGACGGUUUUGCUGUCACUUAUAGAUGGAUCCGCGCCGCAUUAGCUAGUUGGUAAGGUAACGGCUUACCAAGGCAACGAUGCGUAGCCGACCUGAGAGGGUGGUCGGCCACACUGGAACUGAGACACGGUCCAGACUCCUACGGGAGGCAGCAGUAGGGAAUCUUCGGCAAUGGGCGAAAGCCUGACGGAGCAACGCCGCGUGAGUGAUGAAGGUCUUCGGAUCGUAAAACUCUGUUAUUAGGGAAGAACAAAUGUGUAAGUAACUAUGCACGUCUUGACGGUACCUAAUCAGAAAGCCACGGCUAACUACGUG